This 1244-nucleotide ribosomal RNA is filed under the name uncultured bacterium. Its description in RNAcentral is "partial 16S ribosomal RNA". It matches the Rfam family "Bacterial small subunit ribosomal RNA", at positions 242 to 1504 of the family's 1533-position model. The record is from RNAcentral.
UAGCUUGUUGGUGAGGUAAUGGCUCACCAAGGCUACGAUCAGUAGCUGGUCUGAGAGGAUGAUCAGCCACACUGGGACUGAGACACGGCCCAGACUCCUACGGGAGGCAGCAGUGGGGAAUAUUGCGCAAUGGGCGAAAGCCUGACGCAGCGACGCCGCGUGAGUGAUGACGCCUUUCGGGGUGUAAAGCUCUGUCAAGAGGGAUGAUUAUGACGGUACCUCUAAAGGAAGCCCCGGCUAACUACGUGCCAGCAGCCGCGGUAAUACGUAGGGUGCAAGCGUUAUCCGGAUUUAUUGGGCAUAAAGAGUACGUAGGCGGUAUUUUAAGUCAGAUGUAAAAUCCCACAGCUCAACUGUGGUCAGCAUUUGAAACUGGAGUACUAGAGACUAGGAGAGGAAAGUGGAACUCACAGUGUAGCGGUGAAAUGCGUAGAUAUUGUGAGGAACACCAGUGGCGAAGGCGGCUUUCUGGCCUGAUUCUGACACUGAGGCGCGAAAGCGUGGGGAGCGAACGGGAUUAGAUACCCCGGUNNNNNNNNNNNNNNNNNGUGUUCACUAGGUGUAGGAGGUAUCGACCCCUUCUGUGCCGCAGAUAAUUCGUUAAGUGAACCGCCUGGGGAGUACGACCGCAAGGUUGAAACUCAAAGGAAUUGACGGGGGCCCGCACAAGCGGUGGAGCAUGUGGUUUAAUUCGAUGCAACGCGAAGAACCUUACCAGGGCUUGACAUACUGCGAACCUUUAAGAAAUUAAAGGGUGCCUUCGGGAACGCAGUUACAGGUGGUGCAUGGCUGUCGUCAGCUCGUGUCGUGAGAUGUUGGGUUAAGUCCCGCAACGAGCGCAACCCUCGUUUUUAGUUGCUAGCAUUUAGUUGGCCACUCUAGAAAGACCGCCGGUGAUAAACCGGAGGAAGGUGUGGAUGACGUCAAGUCAUCAUGCCCCUUACACCCUGGGCUACACACGUACUACAAUGCUACGGACAAAGGGCAGCAAACUCGCGAGAGCUAGCAAAUCCCAUAAACCGUGGCUCAGUUCAGAUCGUAGGCUGCAACUCGCCUACGUGAAGUAGGAAUCGCUAGUAAUCGCAGGUCAGCAUACUGCGGUGAAUACGUUCCCGGGCCUUGUACACACCGCCCGUCACACCAUGGAAGUUGGCCAUGCCCGAAGUCGUUACUCCAACCCUUGUGGAGGAGGACGCCGAAGGUGGGGCUAAUGACUGGGGUGAAGUCGUAACAAGGUAGCCGUA